CCCCUGGUGGUCUAGCGGUUAAGAUUCAGAGCUCUCACCGCGGCCAUCCGGGUUCAUUUCCCGGUCAGGGAA
Molecule: transfer RNA, 72 nt
Filed under: Equus asinus (donkey)
Lineage: Eukaryota; Metazoa; Chordata; Mammalia; Perissodactyla; Equidae
Also listed under: 1 other name
Rfam family: tRNA
About the family: Transfer RNA (tRNA) molecules are approximately 80 nucleotides in length. Their secondary structure includes four short double-helical elements and three loops (D, anti-codon, and T loops).
Source: Rfam by way of RNAcentral